GGUUAUUAGAUGUAAUUAAUAAUCUUACCUGCUCUAUGUGAAAAUAAAUGGCUGCAGUAUCUUGACUGUACUAAGGUAGCAUAAUCAAAAGCCUUUUAAUUGGUGGCUGGAAUGAAGGGUUAAAUUUGGGAAGAAAGUUUUAUGAAUUGAAUUUUAAUUUAAAUUAAAAAUAAAAAUGUUUUUAUAAAUUUUUAGGACGAUAAGACCCUAGAAGCUUUAAAAUGUAAAAAUUAAAAUAUUUUAGUUGGGGAGACUGAAGAAGAAAAAAUAUCUUUUUUAAAAAAUUUUUAAGUUUGAUAAGUUACUCUAGGGAUAACAGCAUUAUUUAAUUAAAGAGUUCUUAUUGAUAAUUAAGAUUGUGACCUCGAUGUUGAAUUAAAAUAAAUUUGGGGUGAAGAAGCUUCAUAAAUUUAGUCUGUUCGACUAGUAAAAUUUUACA
Molecule: ribosomal RNA, 439 nt
Filed under: Dongmoa sp. PS-2009
Lineage: Eukaryota; Metazoa; Arthropoda; Arachnida; Opiliones; Podoctidae
Description: partial 16S ribosomal RNA
Rfam family: Bacterial large subunit ribosomal RNA (bases 195-439)
Source: RNAcentral